UAUCCCUACGGGAGGCAGCAGUAGGGAAUCUUCCACAAUGGGCUAAAUCCUUAUUGAUCAACUCCUCUUUUUUUAAUAAGGUCUUCGGAUCGUAAAACCCUGUUGUUAGAUAAGAAAGUGCGUGAGAGUAACUGUUCACGUUUCGACGGUAUCUAACCAGAAAGCCACGGCUAACUACGUGCCAGCAGCCGCGGUAAUACGUAGGUGGCAAGCGUUAUCCGGAUUUAUUGGGCGUAAAUGGAACUCAGUCGGUCUUUUAAGUCUGUUGUGAAAGCCUUCGGCUUAACCGGUGUAG
Molecule: ribosomal RNA, 295 nt
Filed under: uncultured bacterium
Lineage: Bacteria
Description: partial 16S ribosomal RNA
Rfam family: Bacterial small subunit ribosomal RNA
Source: RNAcentral